AUUUGUAGAGGAUGUUUCGGGCACCGCUCCGGUUUAAAUUUCUUGGAACAGAAUGUCAAAGAGGGUGAGAACCCCGUCUUGGACCGGCAGUAGGGCCCAUGUGAAACUCCUUCGACGAGUCGAGUUGUUUGGGAAUGCAGCUCAAAAUGGGUGGUAAAUUUCAUCUAAAGCUAAAUAUUGGCCAGAGACCGAUAGCGCACAAGUAGAGUGAUCGAAAGAUGAAAAGCACUUUGAAAAGAGAGUUAAACAGUACGUGAAAUUGUUGAAAGGGAAGCGCUUGCAACCAGACUUGCGCGCGGCGGUUCCCCCUUCCUUUUGGUUGGGUUAUUCCGCCGUGUCCAGGCCAACAUCGGUUCUGGGGGUCGGUUAAAGGCCUGGGGAAUGUAUCUACCCUUCGGGCGUAGACUUAUAGCCCCGGGUGUCAUGCGACCUCCCGGGACCGAGGAACGCGCUUCGGCUCGGAUGUUGGCGUAAUGGUUGUCAGCGACCCGUCUUGAAACACGGACCAAGGAGUCUAACAUCUAUGCGAGUGUUUGGGUGUCAAACCCGGAACGCGGAAUGAAAGUGAACGGAGGUAGGAAGCUUCGGCUGCACUAUCGACCGAUCCUGAUGUCUUCGGAUGGAUUUGAGUAAGAGCAUAGCUGUUGGGACCCGAAAGAUGGUGAAC
Molecule: ribosomal RNA, 667 nt
Filed under: Exophiala dermatitidis
Lineage: Eukaryota; Fungi; Ascomycota; Eurotiomycetes; Chaetothyriales; Herpotrichiellaceae
Description: eukaryotic LSU rRNA
Rfam family: Eukaryotic large subunit ribosomal RNA
Source: RNAcentral